RNAcentral lists this ribosomal RNA (465 nucleotides) under uncultured bacterium. RNAcentral describes it as "partial 16S ribosomal RNA". It matches the Rfam family "Bacterial small subunit ribosomal RNA", at positions 338 to 795 of the family's 1533-position model. The record is from RNAcentral.
CCUACGGGUGGCAGCAGUGGGGAAUUUUGCGCAAUGCUCGUAAGAGUGACGCAGCGACGCCGCGUGAAUGACGAAGGCCUUCGGGUCGUAAAGUUCUUUCGACAGGGAAGAAAAUGCCUAUAAGUAACUGUGUAUGUAUUGACGGUACCUGUAUAAGCAGCACCGGCUAACGCCGUGCCAGCAGCCGCGGUAAGACGGCGGGUGCGAGCGUUGUUCGGAGUGACUGGGCGUAAAGAGCACGUAGUCGGUGUUGUAAGUCAUUAGUCAAAGAGUAGAGCUCAACUUUAGUACGGCUAGUGAUACUAUAAUACUAGAGUAUCAGAGAGGAAUGAAGAAGGCCUGGUGUAGCGGUGAAAUGCGUAGAUAUAAGGAGGAAUACCGUUAGCGAAGGCGGCAAUCUGGCUGGAAACGGACGCUGAGGUGCGAAAGCGUGGGUAGCAAACAGGAUUAGAUACCCCGGUAGUC